RNAcentral lists this ribosomal RNA (497 nucleotides) under uncultured bacterium. RNAcentral's name for it is "partial 16S ribosomal RNA". It matches the Rfam family "Bacterial small subunit ribosomal RNA", at positions 28 to 507 of the family's 1533-position model. The record is from RNAcentral.
GAUGAACGCUGGCAGCGUGCCUAAUACAUGCAAGUCGAGCGAACGGACGAGAAGCUUGCUUCUCUGAUGUUAGCGGCGGACGGGUGAGUAACACGUGGAUAACCUACCUAUAAGACUGGGAUAACUUCGGGAAACCGUAGCUAAUACCGGAUAAUAUUUUGAACCGCAUGGUUCAAAAGUGAAAGACGGUCUUGCUGUCACUUAUAGAUGGAUCCGCGCUGCAUUAGCUAGUUGGUAAGGUAACGGCUUACCAAGGCAACGAUGCAUAGCCGACCUGAGAGGGUGAUCGCCCACACUGGAACUGGGCCACGCUCCAGACUCCUACGGGAGGCAGCAGUAGGGAAUCUUCCGCAAUGGGCGAAAGCCUGACGGAGCAACGCCGCGUGAGUGAUGGAGGUCUUCGGAUCGUAAAACUCUGUUAUUAGGGAAGAACAUAUGUGUAAGUAACUGUGCACAUCUUGACGGUACCUAAUCAGAAAGCCACGGCUAACUACGUG